GAUUCGUUGCUGGGCGUGAUCAGAACGUUGAUUUGCAAAUGGAAUAUUGGUCUUGAGGGCAAUCUGGAAUCUUGAGUUAAUUAGGAACGGGAGCAAUUAUCAUGAAGUCUAUUGAACUUGAUUAUUGUGGAUCUUCUUAAUGAGCGCAAUUGAGAUGUUUGAAGCACAGCUGAGAGAAACUACAAGCAAUUUGGAUUCAUCGUCAGCGGAGAAGGGGUUCUUUGGUGAUUAAUAAAUGGCUCUAUCUCCUGAAUCUCUUAAACUGUAAGAAUAUAAUACGGAGCUAUACCACAAGUUGCAGAUUGAUGACAUUGAAUACAUGCCAAUCUAUCAAGAAUUUAUGACAAAAUUCUUCAAUUCGGUUUUUGGAUCACUAUCGCUGCCUAAUUACCUUCUUGGGACUAACUAUAUAAGAGC
Tripterygium wilfordii is the source of this 417-nucleotide long non-coding RNA. RefSeq lists it as uncharacterized. The record is from RefSeq and is a predicted model, not a curated record. The transcript is spliced from 4 exons. Lineage: Eukaryota; Viridiplantae; Streptophyta; Magnoliopsida; Celastrales; Celastraceae.